RNAcentral lists this transfer RNA (77 nucleotides) under uncultured Armatimonadota bacterium. RNAcentral's name for it is "uncultured Armatimonadetes bacterium tRNA-Pro-TGG". It matches the Rfam family "tRNA". Rfam says of the family: Transfer RNA (tRNA) molecules are approximately 80 nucleotides in length. Their secondary structure includes four short double-helical elements and three loops (D, anti-codon, and T loops). Further hydrogen bonds mediate the characteristic L-shaped molecular structure. tRNAs have two regions of fundamental functional importance: the anti-codon, which is responsible for specific mRNA codon recognition, and the 3' end, to which the tRNAs corresponding amino acid is attached (by aminoacyl-tRNA synthetases). tRNAs cope with the degeneracy of the genetic code in two manners: having more than one tRNA (with a specific anti-codon) for a particular amino acid; and 'wobble' base-pairing, i.e. permitting non-standard base-pairing at the 3rd anti-codon position. Lineage: Bacteria; Bacillati; Armatimonadota. The record is from RNAcentral.
CGGGGCGUGGCGCAGCUUGGUAGCGCGAAUGUUUUGGGAACAUUAGGUCGCAGGUUCGAAUCCUGUCGCCCCGACCU